UUAAGCGACUAAGCGUACACGGUGGAUGCCCUGGCAGUCAGAGGCGAUGAAGGACGUGCUAAUCUGCGAAAAGCGUCGGUAAGGUGAUAUGAACCGUUACAGCCGGCGAUGUCCGAAUGGGGAAACCCAGUGCAAUUCGUUGCACUAUCGUUAACUGAAUACAUAGGUUAACGAGGCGAACCGGGGGAACUGAAACAUCUAAGUACCCCGAGGAAAAGAAAUCAACCGAGAUUCCCCCAGUAGCGGCGAGCGAACGGGGAGCAGCCCGGAGUCUGAAUCAGCUUGUGUGUUAGUGGAAGCGUCUGGAAAGUCGCAGGGUACAGGGUGAUACUCCCGUACACUAAAACACACAGGCUGUGAACUCGAAGAGUAGGGCGGGACACGUGGUAUCCUGUCUGAAUAUGGGGGGACCAUCCUCCAAGGCUAAAUACUCCUGACUGACCGAUAGUGAACCAGUACCGUGAGGGAAAGGCGAAAAGAACCCCGGCGAGGGGAGUGAAAAAGAACCUGAAACCGUGUACGUACAAGCAGUAGGAGCCCCACCACCAAAGCGUUUCGCUUUGCGUGGUGCGCAAAAUGCGUAACGACAGCAUGAUGGACGGUUAACGGAGCGUCAGCGACGUUCAACGUCAAAAAUCAGGCAGUGGAGCGUUUUGGGGUGGGGUGACUGCGUACCUUUUGUAUAAUGGGUCAGCGACUUAUAUUCUGUAGCAAGGUUAACCGUAUAGGGGAGCCGCAGGGAAACCGAGUCUUAACUGGGCGUUAAGUUGCAGGGUAUAGACCCGAAACCCGGUGAUCUAGCCAUGGGCAGGUUGAAGGUUGGGUAACACUAACUGGAGGACCGAACCGACUAAUGUUGAAAAAUUAGCGGAUGACUUGUGGCUGGGGGUGAAAGGCCAAUCAAACCGGGAGAUAGCUGGUUCUCCCCGAAAGCUAUUUAGGUAGCGCCUCGUGAACUCAUCUUCGGGGGUAGAGCACUGUUUCGGCUAGGGGGUCAUCCCGACUUACCAACCCGAUGCAAACUACGAAUACCGAAGAAUGUUAUCACGGGAGACACACGGCGGGUGCUAACGUCCGUCGUGAAGAGGGAAACAACCCAGACCGCCAGCUAAGGUCCCAAAGUCAUGGUUAAGUGGGAAACGAUGUGGGAAGGCCCAGACAGCCAGGAUGUUGGCUUAGAAGCAGCCAUCAUUUAAAGAAAGCGUAAUAGCUCACUGGUCGAGUCGGCCUGCGCGGAAGAUGUAACGGGGCUAAACCAUGCACCGAAGCUGCGGCAGCGACACUAUGUGUUGUUGGGUAGGGGAGCGUUCUGUAAGCCGUUGAAGGUGGCCUGUGAGGGUUGCUGGAGGUAUCAGAAGUGCGAAUGCUGACAUAAGUAACGAUAAUGCGGGUGAAAAACCCGCACGCCGGAAGACCAAGGGUUCCUGUCCAACGUUAAUCGGGGCAGGGUGAGUCGACCCCUAAGGCGAGGCCGAAAGGCGUAGUCGAUGGGAAACAGGUUAAUAUUCCUGUACUUGGUGUUACUGCGAAGGGGGGACGGAGAAGGCUAUGUUGGCCGGGCGACGGUUGUCCCGGUUUAAGCAUGUAGGCGGAUGUUCCAGGUAAAUCCGGAGCGUCACUAACGCUGAGGUGUGAUGACGAGGCACUACGGUGCUGAAGUGACAAAUGCCCUGCUUCCAGGAAAAGCCUCUAAGCAUCAGGUAACAUCAAAUCGUACCCCAAACCGACACAGGUGGUCAGGUAGAGAAUACCAAGGCGCUUGAGAGAACUCGGGUGAAGGAACUAGGCAAAAUGGUGCCGUAACUUCGGGAGAAGGCACGCUGAUGGUAGGUGAAGUGACUUGCUCAUGGAGCUGAAAUCAGUCGAAGAUACCAGCUGGCUGCAACUGUUUAUUAAAAACACAGCACUGUGCAAACACGAAAGUGGACGUAUACGGUGUGACGCCUGCCCGGUGCCGGAAGGUUAAUUGAUGGGGUUAUCCUCGCGGAGAAGCUCUUGAUCGAAGCCCCGGUAAACGGCGGCCGUAACUAUAACGGUCCUAAGGUAGCGAAAUUCCUUGUCGGGUAAGUUCCGACCUGCACGAAUGGCGUA
RNAcentral lists this ribosomal RNA (2091 nucleotides) under human gut metagenome. RNAcentral describes it as "bacterial LSU rRNA". It matches the Rfam family "Bacterial large subunit ribosomal RNA", at positions 1 to 2003 of the family's 2925-position model. The record is from RNAcentral.